This 157-nucleotide ribosomal RNA is filed under the name Dasyspora gregaria. RNAcentral describes it as "5.8S ribosomal RNA". It matches the Rfam family "5.8S ribosomal RNA". From Rfam's summary of the family: 5.8S ribosomal RNA (5.8S rRNA) is a component of the large subunit of the eukaryotic ribosome. It is transcribed by RNA polymerase I as part of the 45S precursor that also contains 18S and 28S rRNA. Functionally, it is thought that 5.8S rRNA may be involved in ribosome translocation. Lineage: Eukaryota; Fungi; Basidiomycota; Pucciniomycetes; Pucciniales; Sphaerophragmiaceae. RNAcentral also lists the same sequence under 8 other names. The record is from RNAcentral.
AUAACUUUUAACAAUGGAUCUCUAGGCUCUCACAUUGAUGAAGAACACAGUGAAAUGUGAUAAGUAAUGUGAAUUGCAGAAUUCAGUGAAUCAUCAAAUCUUUGAACGCAUCUUGCACUUUUUGGAAUUCCAAAAGGUACACCUGUUUGAGUGUCAU